This 309-nucleotide ribosomal RNA is filed under the name uncultured bacterium. Its description in RNAcentral is "bacterial SSU rRNA". It matches the Rfam family "Bacterial small subunit ribosomal RNA", at positions 28 to 361 of the family's 1533-position model. The record is from RNAcentral.
GACUAACGCUGGCGGCGCGCCUAACACAUGCAAGUCGAACGGACGUAGCAAUACGUGAGUGGCGGACGGGUGAGUAACGCGUGGGAACCUGCCCGGAAGUGAGGAAUAACCGAGGGAAACUUCGGCUAAUACCGCAUAUGCCCUGAGGGGCAAAGGCUUCGGCCGCUUCCGGAGGGGCCCGCGUCCGAUAGCUAGUUGGUGGGGUAACGGCCGUACCAAGGCAGUGAUCGGUAGCUGGUCUGAGAGGACGAUCAGCCACACUGGGACUGAGACACGGCCCAGACUCCUACGGGAGGCAGCAGUGGGGAA